UGGGGAAUAUUGGACAAUGGGCGAAAGCCUGAUCCAGCCAUGCCGCGUGAGUGAUGAAGGCCCUAGGGUUGUAAAGCUCUUUCAGUGGGGAAGAUAAUGACGGUACCCACAGAAGAAGCCCCGGCUAACUUCGUGCCAGCAGCCGCGGUAAUACGAAGGGGGCUAGCGUUGUUCGGAUUUACUGGGCGUAAAGCGCACGUAGGCGGAUUGUUAAGUCAGAGGUGAAAUCCCGGGGCUCAACCCCGGAACUGCCUUUGAUACUGGCAAUCUCGAGUCCGGAAGAGGUGAGUGGAAUUCCGAGUGUAGAGGUGAAAUUCGUAGAUAUUCGGAGGAACACCAGUGGCGAAGGCGGCUCACUGGUCCGGUACUGACGCUGAGGUGCGAAAGCGUGGGGAGCAAACAGG
RNAcentral lists this ribosomal RNA (404 nucleotides) under uncultured bacterium. Its description in RNAcentral is "bacterial SSU rRNA". It matches the Rfam family "Bacterial small subunit ribosomal RNA", at positions 355 to 776 of the family's 1533-position model. The record is from RNAcentral.